GAGACACCCUUCUGGGGCAAGACUUGUUUCAGUGGGGCUUUGGUGCUCACUGAGUCUGCCCCCACAUGUGUCCUU
This 75-nucleotide microRNA precursor is filed under the name Myotis davidii. Its description in RNAcentral is "mir-9229 microRNA precursor family". It matches the Rfam family "mir-9229 microRNA precursor family". The record is from Rfam by way of RNAcentral. Lineage: Eukaryota; Metazoa; Chordata; Mammalia; Chiroptera; Vespertilionidae.